RNAcentral lists this ribosomal RNA (374 nucleotides) under uncultured bacterium. Its description in RNAcentral is "bacterial SSU rRNA". It matches the Rfam family "Bacterial small subunit ribosomal RNA", at positions 524 to 898 of the family's 1533-position model. The record is from RNAcentral.
GACGAACCGUGCGAACGUUGUUCGGAAUCACUGGGCUUAAAGGGCGCGUAGGCGGGCGGGCAAGCCCGGGGUGAAAUCUUUCGGCUUAACCGGAAAAGUGCCUCGGGGACUGCUCGUCUGGAGUGAGGUAGGGGCCGCGGGAACUUCCGGUGGAGCGGUGAAAUGCGUUGAUAUCGGAAGGAACGCCGGUGGCGAAAGCGCGCGGCUGGCCCUCAACUGACGCUGAGGCGCGAAAGCUAGGGGAGCGAACGGGAUUAGAUACCCGGUAGUCCUAGCCCUAAACGAUGGGUACUAGGUAGUGGGCUUGACAUGGGCUCACUGCCGUAGCAAAAGUGCUAAGUACCCCGCCUGGGGAGUAUGGUCGCAAGGCUGAA